RNAcentral lists this ribosomal RNA (1491 nucleotides) under Salmonella enterica subsp. enterica serovar Enteritidis. RNAcentral describes it as "partial 23S ribosomal RNA". It matches the Rfam family "Bacterial large subunit ribosomal RNA", at positions 1262 to 2736 of the family's 2925-position model. Lineage: Bacteria; Pseudomonadati; Pseudomonadota; Gammaproteobacteria; Enterobacterales; Enterobacteriaceae. The record is from RNAcentral.
UGUGAGGGUUGCUGGAGGUAUCAGAAGUGCGAAUGCUGACAUAAGUAACGAUAAAGCGGGUGAAAAGCCCGCUCGCCGGAAGACCAAGGGUUCCUGUCCAACGUUAAUCGGGGCAGGGUGAGUCGACCCCUAAGGCGAGGCCGAAAGGCGUAGUCGAUGGGAAACGGGUUAAUAUUCCCGUACUUGGUGUUACUGCGAAGGGGGGACGGAGAAGGCUAUGUUGGCCGGGCGACGGUUGUCCCGGUUUAAGCGUGUAGGUGUGUGUUCCAGGUAAAUCCGGUUCACUUUAACACUGAGGCGUGACGACGAGGCACUACGGUGCUGAAGCAACAAAUGCCCUGCUUCCAGGAAAAGCCUCUAAGCAUCAGGUAACAUCAAAUCGUACCCCAAACCGACACAGGUGGUCAGGUAGAGAAUACCAAGGCGCUUGAGAGAACUCGGGUGAAGGAACUAGGCAAAAUGGUGCCGUAACUUCGGGAGAAGGCACGCUGACACGUAGGUGAAGUGAUUUACUCAUGGAGCUGAAGUCAGUCGAAGAUACCAGCUGGCUGCAACUGUUUAUUAAAAACACAGCACUGUGCAAACACGAAAGUGGACGUAUACGGUGUGACGCCUGCCCGGUGCCGGAAGGUUAAUUGAUGGGGUCAGCGCAAGCGAAGCUCCUGAUCGAAGCCCCGGUAAACGGCGGCCGUAACUAUAACGGUCCUAAGGUAGCGAAAUUCCUUGUCGGGUAAGUUCCGACCUGCACGAAUGGCGUAAUGAUGGCCAGGCUGUCUCCACCCGAGACUCAGUGAAAUUGAACUCGCUGUGAAGAUGCAGUGUACCCGCGGCAAGACGGAAAGACCCCGUGAACCUUUACUAUAGCUUGACACUGAACAUUGAGCCUUGAUGUGUAGGAUAGGUGGGAGGCUUUGAAGUGUGGACGCCAGUCUGCAUGGAGCCGACCUUGAAAUACCACCCUUUAAUGUUUGAUGUUCUAACGUGGACCCGUUACCCGGGUUGCGGACAGUGUCUGGUGGGUAGUUUGACUGGGGCGGUCUCCUCCUAAAGAGUAACGGAGGAGCACGAAGGUUGGCUAAUCCUGGUCGGACAUCAGGAGGUUAGUGCAAUGGCAUAAGCCAGCUUGACUGCGAGCGUGACGGCGCGAGCAGGUGCGAAAGCAGGUCAUAGUGAUCCGGUGGUUCUGAAUGGAAGGGCCAUCGCUCAACGGAUAAAAGGUACUCCGGGGAUAACAGGCUGAUACCGCCCAAGAGUUCAUAUCGACGGCGGUGUUUGGCACCUCGAUGUCGGCUCAUCACAUCCUGGGGCUGAAGUAGGUCCCAAGGGUAUGGCUGUUCGCCAUUUAAAGUGGUACGCGAGCUGGGUUUAGAACGUCGUGAGACAGUUCGGUCCCUAUCUGCCGUGGGCGCUGGAGAACUGAGGGGGGCUGCUCCUAGUACGAGAGGACCGGAGUGGACGCAUCACUGGUGUUCGGGUUGUCAUGCCAAUGGC